This 98-nucleotide transfer RNA is filed under the name Kalmusia sp. IMI 367209. Its description in RNAcentral is "tRNA-Leu". It matches the Rfam family "tRNA". Rfam says of the family: Transfer RNA (tRNA) molecules are approximately 80 nucleotides in length. Their secondary structure includes four short double-helical elements and three loops (D, anti-codon, and T loops). Lineage: Eukaryota; Fungi; Ascomycota; Dothideomycetes; Pleosporales; Didymosphaeriaceae. The record is from RNAcentral.
GGUGAGAUGGCCGAGUUGGUUAUGGCGCCAGGUUAAGGUUCUCUUAACACUAAUUCCUGGUCACGAAAGUGGCGUGGGUUCGAGUCCCACUCUCAUCA